UAUAUAAGACAAUUUAUUUGUAUUUGUUGCUGCAAAAUCUGUAAUUUGAAAGGUACAAAUCUAGUCGUUGGUGUUAAAAUAGGUUUAGACAUGUCGUACAUCGCAUGAAUGUUUUUUUUUUUUUAUAUACAUCUAUGACAACGUUAACUUUUUUUACAGUUUUAGUGAUAUUUUACAUUCAUGUUAUCUCAGCUCUUGGUUUGAGUUCUUUCAAAGUUAAUUUGCUCUGGUUCUAAGUUUUUGUUUUUUU
This 250-nucleotide long non-coding RNA is filed under the name Capsella rubella. Its description in RNAcentral is "long non-coding RNA (CRUB_LNC000996)". Lineage: Eukaryota; Viridiplantae; Streptophyta; Magnoliopsida; Brassicales; Brassicaceae. The record is from RNAcentral.